RNAcentral lists this ribosomal RNA (1405 nucleotides) under uncultured bacterium. Its description in RNAcentral is "16S ribosomal RNA". It matches the Rfam family "Bacterial small subunit ribosomal RNA". The record is from RNAcentral.
UUCGCCCUUAGAGUUUGAUCCUGGCUCAGGACGAACGCUGGCGGCGUGCUUAACACAUGCAAGUCGAACGGGGUGCCUAUGAAAGAGAUUUCGGUCAAUGGAUUAGGUUACUUAGUGGCGGACGGGUGAGUAACGCGUGAGGAACCUGCCUUUCAGAGGGGGACAACAGCUGGAAACGGCUGCUAAUACCGCAUGACACAUAUUUAUCGCAUGGUAGAUAUGUCAAAGAUUUAUCGCUGAGAGAUGGCCUCGCGUCUGAUUAGCUAGUUGGUAGGGUAAUGGCCUACCAAGGCGACGAUCAGUAGCCGGACUGAGAGGUUGGCCGGCCACAUUGGGACUGAGAUACGGCCCAGACUCCUACGGGAGGCAGCAGUGGGGAAUAUUGGGCAAUGGGCGCAAGCCUGACCCAGCAACGCCGCGUGAAGGAAGAAGGCUUUCGGGUUGUAAACUUCUUUUAAGAGGGAAGAGCAGAAGACGGUACCUCUUGAAUAAGCCACGGCUAACUACGUGCCAGCAGCCGCGGUAAUACGUAGGUGGCAAGCGUUGUCCGGAUUUACUGGGUGUAAAGGGCGUGUAGCCGGGCUGACAAGUCAGAUGUGAAAUCCCGUGGCUCAACCACGGAACUGCAUUUGAAACUGUCGGUCUUGAGUAUCGGAGAGGCAGGCGGAAUUCCUAGUGUAGCGGUGAAAUGCGUAGAUAUUAGGAGGAACACCAGUGGCGAAGGCGGCCUGCUGGACGACAACUGACGGUGAGGCGCGAAAGCGUGGGGAGCAAACAGGAUUAGAUACCCUGGUAGUCCACGCUGUAAACGAUGGAUACUAGGUGUGCGGGGACUGACCCCCUGCGUGCCGCAGCUAACGCAAUAAGUAUCCCACCUGGGGAGUACGAUCGCAAGGUUGAAACUCAAAGGAAUUGACGGGGGCCCGCACAAGCGGUGGAUUAUGUGGUUUAAUUCGAAGCAACGCGAAGAACCUUACCAGGGUUUGACAUCCUGCUAACGAAGUAGAGAUACAUUAGGUGCCCUUCGGGGAAAGCAGAGACAGGUGGUGCAUGGUUGUCGUCAGCUCGUGUCGUGAGAUGUUGGGUUAAGUCCCGCAACGAGCGCAACCCUUACCUUCAGUAGCCAGCGAGCAAAGUCGGGCACUCUGGAGGGACUGCCAGGGACAACCUGGAGGAAGGCGGGGACGACGUCAAAUCAUCAUGCCCCUUAUGGGCUGGGCUACACACGUGCUACAAUGGCGUAAACAAAGGGAGGCGAAGGAGAGAUCCGGAGCGAACCCCAAAAAUAACGUCUCAGUUCGGAUUGUAGUCUGCAACCCGACUACAUGAAGCUGGAAUCGCUAGUAAUCGCGGAUCAGAAUGCCGCGGUGAAUACGUUCCCGGGUCUUGCACACACCGCCCGUCA